Solanum lycopersicum (tomato) is the source of this 2905-nucleotide RNA transcript. It is a transcript of the gene named type IV inositol polyphosphate 5-phosphatase 7-like, with no coding region annotated. Lineage: Eukaryota; Viridiplantae; Streptophyta; Magnoliopsida; Solanales; Solanaceae. The record is from RefSeq and is a predicted model, not a curated record.
UGCACUUUAUUCUGUUCAAAUUCUUUACUUUGCUGGUUACUAAGAAAGAAGAGAAGGACCCCCUUUUGCUUUCUCUCUCUCAUUCUUUUUCUUUCUUUAAUUUUUCUUAUCUAUUUUUGGCCUACAUUGUCUUGUGCUUAACUUAAAGUAGUGUAGUUGUCUCUUGUUUCAAGUUCCCCCUUUUUCUUUCUUCUAUAUAGUGUUAAAAUCUUUGGGUUAAAAACAAUAAUACCCAUAUAUCACAAGAGUGAAUUUGAACAAGAAAGGAACAAUCUUUAUGCUUUUUAAGAGAUACCCAAGAUUGAACUUCUCUUAGUGCCUCAUUUGCAAUUUGGUCUAUUUGGGGUGUUGGAUUUUUGGUUUAUAUUUCAAAGAAGAAGAAGAAAGAAGAGUGAUUCUUGAUAAAGUUUUGAGCUUUAUUGAUUCUUGAUUCUUUAUUUGUAUGAUUUUGUGUAUUGUAAGUUGAAACUAAAGAAGGGUGCAUGAAGGAAUAGUGAAAAAAUGAGAGAUGAAAAUUCCAAAAAGAGCAAGCUCUCCUGGUCAAAGAAACUUGUCAGAAAAUGGUUCAAUAUUAAGGGAAAAACUGAAGAAUUCCAGUCUGAUGAAGUUGUUUAUGGAGGUGGCGAUGAGUGGAGAACGAGCAUCUCGGAGAGGGAACAUUGCACGAUUAAGAAAACUAAAACAGAAAAAUCAAAUUCUUCACGGAGUAUGGAACGUCCCCGACGAGGAAGAGCUGAUCUUGAUCACCCUCAAAUUAUAAAUGUACACAACUACAGCGUUUUCGUUGCCACGUGGAACGUGGGUGGAAAAUCACCAUCAAGUAAUUUGAGUCUAGAUGAUUGGCUUCAUUCAGCACCACCUGCAGAUAUCUAUGUACUUGGAUUUCAAGAAAUAGUUCCUUUAAAUGCUGGUAACAUCCUUGGAGCUGAAGACAAUGGACCUGCAAAAAAAUGGCUAUCUUUGAUACGAAAGACACUUAAUAAUGGUCCUGGUAGUAGUGGAGGUAGUAGUGGCUGCUAUACUCCUUCUCCUGUCCCAGAUCCAAUUGCUGAAUGGAAUGCUGAUUUCGAGGGGUCAGGUAGACGCAAGGCAUCCUUAUUUCCUCGUCGAUCAUUCCAGACUCCCCAAUGUUGGAGAAUGGAAAAUGAUCCAUCCAUCUCGCAACCUCGCCUUGAUAGACGAUACAGCGUGUGUGAUAGAGUUAUUUCUGGACAUAGACAGAGUGACUUUGAUCCUAACAUAAGAUGGGGCCACAGACCUAGUGACUACGGUCCCAGGCCAAGUGACUAUUCUUCUGGUUACCGGCCUAGUGAUUAUUCGUCUAGUCACAGGCCGAGCGACUAUUCGUCUGGUCACAGACCAAGUGACUAUUCCUCCGGUCACAGGCCAAGUGAUUAUUCAUCUGCUCAUAGGCCAAGUGACUAUUCUUGGGGACAGCGGCCAAGUGAUUUCUCCAGAUGGGGUUCUUCAGAUGAUGAUUAUGGUCCUGGAGAUUCACCAAGUACUGUUUUGUUUUCACCUGUGACUGGUGCAGAAGACGGUAAUAGAAUGCCUAGAAACUCAAGAUACUGUUUGGUAGCCAGUAAACAGAUGGUUGGCAUUUUUCUUACUGUAUGGGUACGAAGUGAAUUGAGGGAACAUGUCCGUAAUAUGAAAGUAUCAUGUGUUGGCAGAGGGUUGAUGGGUUAUCUUGGAAAUAAGGGUUCUAUUUCAGUAAGUAUGAUGUUGCAUCAGACAAGCUUUUGCUUUGUCUGCACUCACCUAACCUCUGGUCAGAAAGAGGGUGACGAGUUACGCAGAAAUGCAGAUUUUAUGGAGAUCAUAAAGAAAACAAGGUUUCCGCGAGUAAGUGGUGCGGAUGAAGAGAAGUCCCCUGAAAAUAUCCUUGAACACGACCGAGUUAUUUGGCUUGGGGAUCUGAAUUAUCGAAUUGCACUCUCGUACCGUUCUGCCAAAGCACUCGUUGAGAUGCAAAAUUGGAGAGCUUUGUUGGAAAAGGACCAGCUACGCAUAGAACAGAGACAAGGUCGGGUUUUUGUCGGAUGGAAAGAAGGAAAGAUAUAUUUCCCACCAACAUACAAAUAUUCAAGGAAUUCAGAUAGGUAUGCAGGAGAUGACAUGCACCCGAAAGAGAAACGACGAACACCUGCAUGGUGUGAUCGGAUAUUGUGGCACGGAGGUGGUCUUCAGCAAUUAUCUUAUGUUCGUGGGGAGUCUAGAUUUUCAGAUCAUAGACCCGUUUCCAGUGUAUUUUGGGCUGAAGUGGAGUCGGUCCCAAGUAGAUUGAGGAAAAGUAUGAGUUGUUCAAGUUCGAGAAUCGAGGUGGAGGAGCUGUUGCCAUAUUCUCAUGGCUAUACCGAACUCUGCUUCUUUUGAAGGAGAACGGAGGAUACCAAACCUCAGCUUUCGAUUCAGGCGGGAACCACUUUGACGAAACUCAAACCUGAAGAACGCUUGGGACCGUUCUUAUCCCACUAACUGAAAAAGGUGUAUAUUCAAAAUUUUGAUGACUAACUUUAACUUGAAUCGACAUGGACUACAUAUACAUUUCUGUAACACUUAGGAGAAGCAUAACUCGACUUGUUAAUUACCAAACUCCCCGUGGCAACGUCUAUCUUUUGGCACAGUUAUCAUCCUUUUUCUAUAAGGACGAAGUAAAGACCAAAAGCGUAAUGCCAAGUGGGGAAAUGACAAUGAUUUUUGUUUCCAAGAUUCUUUUAUUUUAAGUAGUUAGGACUUAGGAAUAGGAGAGAUUCAAUGACAAGAAGAGCAUGAGUGAAAAAUAAUCAUGUUUCUUUUUUAGUUUUCUUACUUUUUGUUUUUAAUGAUUCUGAUCAUCUGAUGUAUACUCAAUUGCAAACAUGAUACUACUAGUAAGUAAAAGAAUAUAUUUAUUUAUUGAAAA